UGAAAAUGGGUCCCACAGACCCGAACACCACACACGGGUUAAGUAUGUAGUAUACAGUAUGCUAGUAUGGGUAUUCGAACUCAGCUUUUGUCUCUCCCGCAUAUCUGGUCGGUCAUUUACCACCCUGUGGUCGAUGGUGUAAUUGCAACAUAUUUUACUGAGUGCAGACGCAAGCACGAGGAAACGGCUAUACCUACAAUGCCUGGAAUGCUACGAAACACCAGAAAUAGUUGUUGUCAUUUCUUUGGCUGUGUGCACAAACGUGAUUUCAGCAUUUAGAAACAUCGCCUAUUGUGUUAUAUCAGUCAGACGUUUAAAAAGUCAAAGUAUAAAUCAUUUCUAUCGUGUUGCAUGAUGGGAAAAUAGUCUGACAGCGAUAUAAUCUAAUAAAACCAAAGUAGUCGCUUUUCCCUCGCUCUGUCCACAACUGCGAUCAUAAACGUCAUUAAACCCGGGUCUAUGUCGCCGAGGCUCAUCAACUUUUUAUAGUCUACCCAAAUCACCUUUCGCCGCUGAGCCUGAAUACGCCCGAUCUCGCUAGCUAAGCAGGGUCGGGCCUGGUAGUACUUGAAUGGGAGACCGCUUGGGAAUACCAGGUGCUGUCAGCCAGCCCAGUAUGGUGUACUAUUGUAUUAUUUUGUCAGAGGCAACUGUCUUAUAUUGAUUAACAAUAUAAUUGUGUAUGUUAAUGUUACAUUUUGCUUUUUGGGACUGUUUGGCUGUAAAUGUCUAUUUAAAGGUCAGAAUAUAGAAUGUUAGGAACACUGCUACUAGUUACUUCAACUGAGAGUGUUACAAAAUUUCGCUACACCCGCAAUAACAUCUGCUAAAUAUGAGAAUGUGACCAAUACAAUUUGAAUAAUGUUUGUUUCACUGUACACUUUUUCCAGAGAUAUGAACUUCAAAUAGUUGAUCCAACCAAUAUUACUUUUCUUACGGGCAAACCAGCCUAAAUGCGCCUAUUACGUUCCCCAGUUUCUGUGUUGUGGUUUUGUUUGUAUGCGUGUGUUUCAGGAUGGCUUCCUGGAUUCCCCCAAGCAGCUGAUUGGUCUGCCUCAUUGAUGAUUGGAAAGCUGACCCCUCCCCCUCGUCAGGAUACAGCGGUAUCCCAUUACAGACUCCUUCUCCAGCUAUAUAAGCCUGGUUCUGUUGCUCAGAAGAGAAAUGAUGAGUGUGUCCUGUGUUGGUUGUUUCUCAGAGAGAGCUGAUGGUUAUGUUCUGUGUUGGUUGUUGUUUCUCAGAGAGAGCUGAUGGUUAUGUUCUGUGUUGGUUGUUGUUUCUCAGAGAGCUUAUUGGUUAUGUUCUGUGUUGGUUGUUGUUUCUCAGAGAGCUUAUUGGUUAUGUUCUGUGUUGGUUGUUGUUUCUCAGAGAGAGCUGAUGGUUAUGUUCUGUGUUGGUUGUUUCUCAGAGAGCUUAUUGGUUAUGUUCUGUGUUGGUUGUUGUUUCUCAGAGAGAGCUUAUUGGUUAUGUUCUGUGUUGGUUGUUGUUUCUCAGAGAGAGCUUAUUAGUUUGUCCUGUUUUUGCUGAGACAUGUUUUUGUUAAGUACUUUGUAGCCGCUGCUUCUAAGGUAUGUGUCCCCAUAGGACGCAGAGUUUUUGAUUAUUGAAAUUGUUACGUUUGUAUUUUUCUGUUUCAGUUGUUCCCAGGGGGAAGGGGAAGGCACCUAGGGAGUGCUUAGGCAAGAGGCCCGCGGGCAUACAUAACCUGUAGUAUUCACUGUCUAUGCACACUAGGUAAGACCUGUGCGGACCACCCCCUGUAUUUUGGUUAGCGCACCAGGUGGCGCUAAGAUUAGGUAAGUAGUGGGUAUGCAGAUAAGGUAGGAGAGGGGAGCUUUGACAUUUACUUUCUUUGCUUUGGUUCCGUUCAGCCCCUUUUCCCCAAAUUUACCGUUUGAAGGAAGCAAUAAAUUCUGAGUAAACGGUCAAUUCUUUACCUUUGUCAUCCUUACUCGCACCUACAGUCCCAUACCUCUUCCUGGAGGUGUAUGUAACAGCGCCCUAUCUCCGAAACUAAGUAGUCGGCCAGGUUAGUACUUGGAUGGGAAUACUGUGCUGUAAACUUCUCAAUUUGACCAGUAGAGGUAGCUAUAAAGAGUAGUUUUCACAUUUUAUCAGACCAACUGCAUAUUAUUUAUUACGUUAACAGAUAUGUGCAUUCAAUACAUGCCUUUUCUGGUUCCCUUGAUGUUCAAAGCUAAUGAUUUUGUCAUGUUGCCACUGUUUCGCCAAUGGUGGUGCCGAUCUCUUAAACUGUGUUUGACUCAAAUGAACAGGUUUUGGGUAUGUACUAUCGUUGCAGUCCGAACAACAUAUCAGAACUGUUGACUGUAUGAAAUCGAUUGAAUAAUGGAGUAGGAAUAAGAGCAAAGUGUUGGGGUGCCUGUAAGUCACAUCAAAUGUGUACUGAACUGCAGUGCUCCAUUGUUUACACAGCCAUACCACCCAGGGUUGCUGUAUGCUUUUUGGUUUAUAGAUGGCGCCCUUGUACUGUAUUACAUUAUCCCAAGUGAAGAUUAAGAUCAUGUAAAGACCUACCGGUAAUUGGAUGUGUGUAUGUCCAGUUGCUCUACUGAAUGAAGGUACCGUAUUUCUUUACUCAUCCAUGUAUGUUGCGAAGGCUACAUUGUCCCAAUUCCCAAUACGUUAGCCUAAUGCAAUAUGUUCUAAAAGCUUUGUACAAAUUACAAAUCUGCAAUAAUUAGAUCUAGAUCAGUAAUCGGCUCUCUGACAGAAUAAAGGAUGCAGUGUUCUGGUGUCAGGAUGUCAACGGAGUGUAAGCCUACUAAACCUCUGAGGUGCCUCCUGAGUCCAGGCAGGGCAUGGGAAUAGGGUGAGGAAUGCAGGGAAUGUUAAUGAGCCCAGUGGAAGUGCGUCAGCCCGGGUUUAUUAUGAUCACGUAAUGACCUCACUGCAGAGAGAGUGAGACCACCUGACUCUCCAAUGGGCCGUGUUUCAUUCCAAUCAAUUAUCCCCUCAUCACUUCUGCCCUCGCUCACUCCCCUUCAUGAGUUAUUGAAUUGGACUGAAUAGGUGAAAGCAGCUGGAUCCGCCUGUUGAGUAUUACUGCUGUAGUGGUACUCAUGACCUAGACAGAUGUAGGACUGUAGUUGAUAACAUCAGAUAGCAUCGCACUAGGCCUCCGGUCUUGCUCACUUCUUCAUGUUAAUCUGUUGCCAUUGGUUUCCCACUUGUGGGUCUGUGUAUAUGCAUGUCUACAUGAAAAGAGGGAUGGGUGGAGGGAGGGAGGCAGUAGGGGAACAAGCUAAACAACAAAUGUUGCUGAUGGAGGACUUGUGCUGUGCUGACCAUCCCACCAUCAUUCAUGACUGCACAGUGUCCAUCACUGUCAAUCUCUGACCUAGCCUGACCUGUAGACAGUAAUAGUCAUAGCCCUAUUGUAUUACUCCCUUCCUUCCUGUAUGUCAUCACUACACUCUUAGAAGAAGAAAAAGCUAUCAAGAACCUAAAAUUGUUCCUCGGCUGUCCCCAUAGUAUAAGCCUUUGAAGAACCCUUUUUGGUUCCAGGUAAAAUCCCUUUGGUUCCAGGUAGAACCUUUUAGGGUUCUACAUGGAACCCAAAAGGGUUCUACUUGGAACCAAAAAGGGUUCUGUAAGAGUGUACGGCCAGGAGUUUUGUGGCACUUUUUGAGACACUGCGCUUUUACCAGUAUUCCAGCAUGAUCCACUAGGUUUGCUGUAGGCAGAACAUCCUAGGAAAGGUUCUUUAACCCCCUAGCGUCAAUUUCCUCACCCCCGUGGAAAUUGAAUUAGCAUAAUAAAAAUAUCCCCAUUAAAAAUCUGUCAGUUUAAGCUAGAGAUAUUGUGUUUUUUUGCAUUGGAGGCGUCUCAAUCCACUGCGUCAGCUUAUGUCACACUUCCGCAUCUGCGGUGAAAGAGCUAGAGCGUUGUUUGUCAGACCAUGAGACAUCCUGAGAGUCAGUCUUCUCAUCAAAUCGUCUGUAGCGUUCGAACGGUUUGGCCUAGAAACUUUGUGCUACACACUAUGACCCCUCUGUGCAAAGGUGAGACUCUCACAAACAUGUACAUGUUAUUGUUAUUCAAUGCGUUUAUAUGGGCUAAUAACAGUAAGGCCAAAAAUAAUUAUUUAUAAAAAAAAGUUUUAUUUUUUAUUAUUACUUCAAUGGGUUUAAAAAAAAUCUUAAUCAAAUAGCUAAAUGAUCCUUGGUAUGACAUUCUUAAAACAAUUCCAUAUAUCUUAGUAGAACCCCCCCCCCCCACAUGAAAAGAGGGAUGGGUGGAGAAAAGAGGGAUGGGUGGAGGGAGGGAGGCAGUAGGAGAACAAGCUAAACAACAAAUGUUGCUGAUGGAGGACUUGUGCUGUGCUGACCAUCAUCCCAACAUCAUUCAUGACUCUGCACAGUGACCAUCACUGUCCGACUCUGAACCUAGCCUGACCUGUAGACGGUAAUAAUCAUAGCCCUAUUGCAUUAAUCUUUCCCUUCCUUCUUUCCUGUAUGUCAUCACUACACUCUUAGAAAAAAAUACCUUCUUAAAACAAUUCCAUAUAGCUUUGUAGAGAUUUGUCACACUAACCACGUUUCCAUCUACAGAUUUUAUGCGAGUAAACUCAUACAGAACUGUAAAAAAAAUCAUGACAGCUGUGAUGGCAACAGGACGUUUCAGUACAAUUUUAUAAAUGCAGACAUAAUUUGUUAGUUCAACAUGGUGGGAUCUUUUUUGUGAAAAUGUAUAAUGCGUGAAAUGGUGGUGGGAAUGUCUUUAUGCGCAGAUAUUGAUAUAAUAACCAUCAUAUCGAAGUGAACUUGGAGUCACUGAUGCCAUGUUGUGUGGUCCUUAUUCUGGUGACAUGAUGAUCAAUGCUUGACUGCCAGUUGACAUACAAAUAUUCUUGCUUUUAUCCAUGAUACUCGCAUCAUGUAGACUAGCUUACCUGCACAGCCUACUCGCACUGUAGGCCUAUUUGCAAGCUAUUGGCUAGAGCGCACAUGCCAAGACCAGAGUGGGCACAUUUGAUAUUUAACGCAGUAGUUUUUGUGACAAAACUAUUGGUAGAGUUUAAAAUGUAAUGGAAACACAUUGACCUUCAGAUUUUUAUUUGGUGCAUGAAAACUUAUGUACCAAAAAGUACAUUCUGUGUCCACUAUGUCAUAUAUUUUCUUUAUGCAUAUUCUAGAAUGUUCACAUGAAAAUCUGUUGGAUAGAAAUCUAGCUAUAGUGAAAUAUCAGACAGGCCCAGGUACCUACUGUUUUCUUGUUUUGUCAAAGUUGAGGUGAAGACCCUCGAGGCCCUGACCUGUUGAUCAAUGCAAUGCUUCGGGUUUUGAUCUUAGUGCAUUGAAUUUUUUAUAUUGUAGUAUUCCCUGCUAAAACCAGACAUUGACUGACUGAUUGGAGACAGCUUGUGUCAAUUACAGAACAUUUCCUAGGAUUUCCAACCUGCACCAACACUAGUGGACAAUGCUGGAGAUACCGGUAAAAGCACAGUGCCUCAAUAUUGCCCUAAAACUCCUGUCCUUAGUCAUCACUGAUCUGACAUGGCUGGGCUAUGUGUCUGUGUUUGUGUGAGACAGAGAGACACAACACACAAAGACUUAUAGCUUGCUUUACACACACACACUCAUCUCAUAGGAGAUCUCUCAUAUCUUCAGCCACCUGGUUGGUAUGCGUGCUGUGUCCCAGUCCUCUCUUCUCAUGUAGAGUCAUGAGCCUCCUCUCUCCUUCUGACACAUCUAAUCACUUCACUAAAUCAUAUCAAUGAGAGCCUGAGAGACUAAUACCUCUCAUCUGACACCUCACUGCCCUUAUAGACGGGUUGGUUGUUUAACAACAAAACCAAUGCUUCCGCAACUAUGAGGCAAAACAGACAGGGUUGGCUUAGGUUGUUGACAUAAAUACAUUUGCAUAAUGAGCACUAGUUGUUGUCUCAAUUACAUCAUUACAGUUGGUGAUUAGCUAGCUAGCGAAUUUUUGACAUAUUAGCAUAGACGUUACAUCAGUCAAGACACCUCAAAACAAGACAUGAUAUCAAGAACAACAUACAACUAGGUGAAAAUAGCCACCUAUGAUUCCCCACAUGGAAGCUAUUUGUCAUUUGUUGCUAGCUAUGUGGCCAUCCAGAAUCACUACACACGGACUUCUGCCUCAUUGAAGCGUGUGCAUCGUUUUCAUGACGUUGUCAGCUAACCCAUCUAUCAAUUAGUUUUCCACCUUUUUCUCUCCUUUUUUAUGACAGUGUCCUUUCUUCCCCCACGUCACUUCUUGUAUUUCUCUCUUUAAUUGUGUCCUUUUUAAUAUUUUACACCUUUCAAUCCUUUUCUCUCUCUCUUUCUUGAGUGAUGUCUUGUCUAUGACUUGUCUGUCAUCUCUGGCUCUAUUCCUCUGCAACCAUCCCUGACAAACAGCCGGAAGAUGCCAGAGACACAAACUCUACAGAAUUAUCAUUGAAGGCUCUCGAAAGGGUGGCGCGGUCUGCACAACGCAUCACCGGGGGCAAACUACCUGCCCUCCAUGACACCUACAACACCCGUUGUCACAGGAAGGCCAAAAAGAUCAUCAAGGACAACAACCACCCGAGCCACUGCCUGUUCACACCGCUAUCAUCCAGAAGAGGACCUGAGCCCUAGGACCAUGCCUCAGGACUACCUGGCUUGAUGACUCCUUGCUGUCUCCAGUUCACCUGGCCGUGCUGCUGCUCCAGUUCCAACUGUUCUGCCUGCAGCUAUGGAACCCUGACCUGUUCACCGGACGUGCUACCUGUCCCAGAGAUGCUGUCCCAGACCUGCUGGAACCCUGACCUAUUCACCGGAUGUGCUACCUGUCCCAGACCUGCGGUUUUUAACUCUCUAGAGACAGCAGGAGCGGUAGAGAUACUCUCAAAGAUCGGCUAUAAAAAAGCCAACUGACACUCUUGUGUUACUGACUUGUUGCACCCUCGACAACUACUAUGAUUAUUAUUAUUUGACCAUGCUGGUCAUUUAUGACCAUUUGAACAUCUAGGCCAUGUGCUGUUAUAAUCUCCACCCGGCACAGCCAGAAGAGGACUGGCCACCCCUCAUAGCCUGGUUCCUCUCUAGGUUUCUUCCUAGGUUUUGGCCUUUCAUGGGAGUUUUUCCUAGCCACCGUGCUUCUACACCUGCAUUGCUUGCUGUUUGGGGUUUUAGGCUGGGUUUCUGUACAGCACUUUGAGAUAUCAGCUGAUGUAAGAAGGGCUAUAUAAAUACAUUUGAUUUGAUUUACUCAUCUCACAUGUAUAUACUGUACUUUAUAUAAUCUACUGCACCUUGCAUAUGCCGCUCAGCCAUCGCUCAUCCAUAUAUUUAUAGGUAAAUAUUUUCAUUCACCCCUUUAGAUUUGUGUGUAUUAGAUAGUUGGUGGGGUAUUGUUAGAUUACUUGUUAGAUUUGUGUGUAUAAGGUAGUUGUUGGGAAUUGUUAGAUAUUACUUGUUAGAUAUUACUGCACUGUUGGAACUAGAAGCACAAGCAUUUCGCUACACUCGCAUUAACGUCUGCUAACCAUGUGUAUGUGACCAAUAAAAUUUGAUUUGAUGAGGC
Molecule: long non-coding RNA, 7536 nt
Filed under: Salmo salar (Atlantic salmon)
Lineage: Eukaryota; Metazoa; Chordata; Actinopteri; Salmoniformes; Salmonidae
Source: RNAcentral